GGCUCUGCGUCACGCCUGGGCUUUACUCCUGUGGCAAGAGGAGUGUUUCUCUAGGGCUCCCACUCUGCUACACACACACACACACACACACACACACACACACACACACCUCCUGACAGAUACACUCACACACAUGCCUGCCUAGUGAAGGAGUGAGCACACUCAGAUGUAAACACACAGAGUGACGGACGGACUGGAGCACGGAGAGGAUGGAUGAAUGGAUGGAUUGCUGCUGACGAACUAGACAUAAUGGGAGCUUAAACUUGGUGUGCAUGUGUGUGUAUGUGUGUGUGUGUGUGUGCCGAUGUGUGUGUGUGGGUGACACACGGAGAGAGAAAGAAAGAAAGUGUGUGUGUUAGAGGGUCGGCCGGUCAGUGUGUCUGUUACCGUGGCGAUGGAAGGAGGGAGUGUGAACACAGAGGAAUGCUUUCGGUUAUAGAGAGGGAGAGCCGGCCAGGAUGGCCACGCGAGGAAUCUUUCUGAAACCGAACUGAGCACGUACAGACAAACAGGUCUUUUGGUGAGAAAACUGGAAGACUUUUGAAGCUAAAGAAAGGAUCUACAAGCACUUUUCCUUACAGAAAAGUUAGUAUUUACCCUUUGAUAAUACUCAAUAUGUUGUUUACCUUGAUUUACUGUUAACUUAAAAUGCAUCUUCUUUUUGUGUCCUCUCCAGAUCACUCAAGGAUUCUUCUGUCGUUAGAUGUAAACUGGACAGAAAACAACGCAUAGCAACAUUAGUGUUUACACAAUGGCAAAAGGAGAGAAACAUUUCUGAUGUUAUCCACUAAAGCUCCCCUUUUAUUUCCACUUCCUGAUUCCUGUUUCCAGCCUGGCUUUACAAUCAGUCUAUUUCAGCAAUGGACGGGUACUUCCUGUUUCUGUGAACUUGUUGGCAGCCCUCAAAGGUUCAGCUAUCAUGCCUGGUAGUUGUGGGACCUUGUAACCCUCCAGAACCCACCCUCCCAACUCCCCCACCACCCCCUCUCUCCUCCCUCUUCUAAACC
RNAcentral lists this long non-coding RNA (1007 nucleotides) under Sander lucioperca (pikeperch). Its description in RNAcentral is "lncRNA (ENSSLUG00000003860.1)". Lineage: Eukaryota; Metazoa; Chordata; Actinopteri; Perciformes; Percidae. The record is from RNAcentral.